AAACAAGGCCUCUUACAAUGACAGGUUUCCUUGAAGGAUAAUAAGGUGACGGUGUUGGUGGUUUAGUUGGUGGCUUUGCUGGUGGUGGAGAAGGGGACUUAGCUGGUGGCUUAGUUGGUGGCUUUGAUGGUGGUGGGGAUGGAGGCUUAGCUGGUGGUGGAGUUGGGGGCUUAGCUGGUGGGGGAGAAGGAGACUUAGCUGGUGGUGGAGUUGGAGUAUCUAUUGGUGAAGGGGCUGGGGAAUUUUUUGGGGGGGGGUGGUGGCCCUUGUGAGGCUUAGGGGCUUGGGCUGGUGGAAGGUGGUCAACAUUUUUGUCUAAUGAGUACCAGUGAUCACCGUGGCUAAGAACUGCGAAUGAGCUAAGAAAUAAGACUGAAAGCUGAAAAAGAACAAGGGCCUUUGCCAUUGUUGCUAAAUUCUUCUCAACUGAACUAAGUGGUGUGUGUAAAGGGAAGCGAGAGCCAUGUAUUUAUAGGGGCAGAAUUAAUAGUAGCUUGUUUGGUCAGCUUCUAAACUCUCUUUAUUUUUUAUAAUUAGAAGUGAUCUGUUUACAAAAGGUAAUGUGGAGAGUAAUAGUUUGUAUUUGAAUAAUCAAUUUAACUACGUAUUAUUUUUCUCACAACAGUAAAGCAUCAAUUUGUGUUUGACUAAGAUUUCAAAAGUAUUUCUGAGAAAAAAACAAAUGUCAC
This 689-nucleotide long non-coding RNA is filed under the name Capsicum annuum. RNAcentral's name for it is "long non-coding RNA (CANN_LNC003465)". Lineage: Eukaryota; Viridiplantae; Streptophyta; Magnoliopsida; Solanales; Solanaceae. The record is from RNAcentral.